Molecule: small RNA, 24 nt
Filed under: Arabidopsis thaliana (thale cress)
Lineage: Eukaryota; Viridiplantae; Streptophyta; Magnoliopsida; Brassicales; Brassicaceae
Description: ATSL250810
Source: RNAcentral
UCCAAGACUUGAGGAUAUUUAAAC